Molecule: ribosomal RNA, 478 nt
Filed under: uncultured bacterium
Lineage: Bacteria
Description: partial 16S ribosomal RNA
Rfam family: Bacterial small subunit ribosomal RNA
Source: RNAcentral
GAUGAACGCUGGCGGCGUGCCUAAUACAUGCAAGUCGAACGGGGAAAGCUUUCGGGUGAGUACUAGUGGCGCACGGGUGAGUAACGCGUGGAUAAUCUGCCUUAGAGUGGGGGAUAACUAGUCGAAAGAUUAGCUAAUACCGCAUAAGACCACAGGAGCUGCGGCUCAAGGGGUCAAAGGUUUUUCGCUUUAAGAUGAGUCCGCGUAAGAUUAGCUAGUUGGUGAGGUAACGGCUCACCAAGGCGACGAUCUUUAACUGGUCUGAGAGGAUGAUCAGUCACACUGGAACUGAGACACGGUCCAGACUCCUACGGGAGGCAGCAGUAGGGAAUAUUGCACAAUGGAGGAAACUCUGAUGCAGCGACGCCGCGUGAGUGAUGAAGGCCUUCGGGUCGUAAAGCUCUGUCGCAGGGGAAUAACACAAUGAAGGUACCCUGUAAGAAAGGAUCGGCUAACUUCGUGCCAGCCGCCGCAGUAA